Molecule: ribosomal RNA, 253 nt
Filed under: uncultured bacterium
Lineage: Bacteria
Description: partial 16S ribosomal RNA
Rfam family: Bacterial small subunit ribosomal RNA
Source: RNAcentral
UACGAAGGGGGCUAGCGUUGCUCGGAAUCACUGGGCGUAAAGGGUGCGUAGGCGGGUCUUUAAGUCAGGGGUGAAAUCCUGGAGCUCAACUCCAGAACUGCCUUUGAUACUGAGGAUCUUGAGUUCGGGAGAGGUGAGUGGAACUGCGAGUGUAGAGGUGAAAUUCGUAGAUAUCGAGAGGAACACCUGCGGCGAAGGCGGGUUGCUGGGCUGAUACUGAGCUGAGGCGCGAAAAGCCAGGGGAGCGAACGGG